UACUGUGUUCCUUCUACAUCUUUCUUUCUCUCAAAGUAUUCUAUCUACAAAAUUAAUGAUUUCUCUGUGCUCCAAAUCGCUCUUCUUCGGCGGCGUUGCUUCAAGGCUCUAUGUCUUUUUAUUAUUGUGAUGGUUAGAUUUUUUAUUUUCUCCUCAAACUCUUUUCUGUAUUUUAUGGAUCUGCUAUAUUAAAAGACAAUGAAAAUACAGAGAGAUUCAUGCCUUUUUCUAUAUUGAUAAUUUAGUCUAAAAGGUACAUUUUUUAUUUGAAAAAGUUUAUUGUGGUUGUUUGCAUGCCAUUUUUAUGAAUUCUUAAUGUUUUUGAUAUUUCUUGAAUAUUGUAUACAUAUGGAAGAUGCGAGAAUUUGAAAUGGCUAUUCAAAAUUUCUGCAUGUGAGUUCGCAUUUUCUUCUCGCAUUUUUAUGAUAUAAUUCACUCUUUUUGGUGUUCGAACACUGCAUCACAUGGUGGUACAAAGAGCAACCUUAUUGGUUCGAUCUUUCAAGAGUAGAAAAUAUUGAUUUCCGAUCUAGAUACAAGUUUUGGGAAUUUACUUAGUAUUUUAAUUUUAAUUUUUGAGUGUUGUUUGGAGUUAUAUUUCUCAUAAUGUUUAAGGUUUUUGUUUGUUUACUUAUUCCCCUGCAGUAGUUUUCCUUCUAAAUUAUUUCUUGAUUUUGACAUACCUUUAAAUUUUGGCUCAUGUUAGUUACUAGGGUAACAAUUCUUCUAUUGUGUGGAACAUGUUUCUCAUAAACUUAUAAGCAACGUUGAAAGUUUUUGGACUAAUUUAGGUAGGAUUUGAUAGAAAGUAAAAUUAUUGACUGAAAAUUAUUACUUUCAGAACGAAAAUAAUAGUGAAAAAUACUUCUUAUGCCUACACUUGGGACCUCACCUUCCAAUCUAAUACACUACUUCAUUAAUCAAUUGCCUGUUUUCGAGUAGUUUUUUACUAUAUCUUUGAUAUGUUUAGAGAAAAUUGAUCCAACGAUCUAGACAUGAGUGAAGAAAUUAACGUAUAAUAUUUCUUUUGCCUUUCGCAGGUUAAGAGUGAUCAAGUUAUCCUAAAAACUUCUAGGUGAAGCACUCUGUUCUGCUUGUACCGGCGAGGACAUGGGACUUCUGCUGAAAUUAUUGUUCACUACACCAUAGGCAAUGUGGAGGUCACUUUUUUGGAGAUGUACAUGUUUUGGGUCUUAACUGUAAAGUACCCUCCUCCUUUGGCACUCUGAUCUAUCUUGCACUCAUACCACUAAAGAACCAAGGUAGUUUUCUCCAUUUUUUGUGCUUGUAAUACAUAAAUGUGUCUUAUAGUUAUGGCUAUGUAUGAGUUUUUAAUAAAGAUCAAGUGUUACAGUAGAUGAACUCACUUCCUAUCUAUAUUUGCCUAUUUUUUUAUUUUUUUUAAAAAAAACUAAUAAUAAAUCAAUUGACACUAUCAUCUAGACACAAUAUUAUUGUGAUCCAUAGGUAUCAAAGUUAAUCUAAGUCAGAGACAACACUAAAUUGAGAUUCCAACUACAUCUGAAAACAUGUUGUUAAUUCAACUACCAAGUCAUGAUCCUUCUGCGCUAUGACCUUAUGAGUUGAAUGAGCACAUGCGACAUGAGAGCUGAAAAAUUAGAAAUCAUUGUUUCAAAAUUAUGAAUAGGAUGUCAUAAUGGUAUCCAAGAGAGUAACAACAUAUAAAUGAAAUAAGACUACAAGAGAGAUAUGUUGAUCCGUUUUAAUAACCGUGUUGGUAAGUCAAUAUGCCACUUUCUGAUUUUAGUAGAUAUUUGCAUCUAUUUAGAUUAGAUGUCUCAGCUUAUUAUGAUAGUUAAGAAUUGAUGAAAGACUACUAUUUCAAAUACUCUAUAUAGUGUUGUUAUGAUUGAUGAGAUAGUGCCGUUUUGUUUCUAUGAGAUUUUUUCCUUUGUUGUGUGAAUUUCAAUGUCCGUUUGGAUAUAAGAACUAAAACCUGAAAUUCGGUAAAAUAACUGUUGAAAAAAUGUUUCUAUUCUCAAACUGAAUUUUUCGUUCCAAGUCUUAAAAGAAGAGAGGAUCACUGAUAAUUCAAAUAUUUAAGAACUCUUUAAUAAGUUUUGCUCUCUUAUAAUAUAAUAAAUUCUUAUUUGUACUAGGCUUUCUUCUAUAGUCCUAUAUUACCUUGCACGCAACAAUGUUAUUAUAAUCAAAAACCUUGGAAACAUAUGUCAUAUGUUUGAGAAAGUUAAUAGGGCAAGAAAUGUAACAAGACAAAUGAAUAUCAAUUACUUUGUUAUAUUUUCUUUUGAGCAUUUUAUUUGUGUAUUGGUAAUAGUUGAAUUGAGUUUGUAUUGUUUGUUUUAAGCUAAUUUGUAUUUUCUUGCUAAAAAAUUGUAGUUGUGUUAAGCAUAUGACUUUACUGUAUUGACGUCUACUAUAUUAAAUAAAAAUCCUACCUUACUUUAGUAACUAUAUAACCAUUCCAUUUCACACGCUUACAAGUUACAGCUUUAUAGUGUCAUAUAUGUUAGUUCAUGUUUCUCAGAGACAACAUUUAUAUCCGACACUCAGCAGAUAGGAAAAUUAGGUGUGGCAUCAUAGCGGGGGCGAUCAUAUGCUACUUCAGAGUUCCAGAUUUACAUGUAAGUUAAUAUGCCAGUUUCUGUUAAAAUGUUUGAGGCAACUUCACAUGAGUUUAGUUGUUCUUAGCAGUUAUUUAUAUCAAUUUACAUUUGAUGCUUCAUCUUAGUGCGGUUGUUUCAAAUUAUGAAAUGAAAAUCGUUCUUCACUUUGAUGUUAAUUAAAAUUUUACAGUAAAAAUUGAUUGGUAAUACUUUUCAAGAAUGGAACAAGGAUUGCAACCUCUAUAAUGAGAAAAUUUUGCACAACUAAGUAAUAUUCUACGUUGCAUUGAACAUGGAAAAUUUAUCAGUUUAUCUCAAGUAUUGUACAAAAGUUUUGAUUCCCCUGUUUUUGGGAGAAAUAUUGGAGCACCAUCAUAUAUGGCACCAACAUUAAGUUUACGAAAGUCUGGUAUUGAAGUACCAUCGAAGUAUAUGCAAGAUUCAUUAUCAAAAUUGCGAAGAUGGAGUUCAGAUU
Molecule: long non-coding RNA, 3063 nt
Filed under: Solanum tuberosum (potato)
Lineage: Eukaryota; Viridiplantae; Streptophyta; Magnoliopsida; Solanales; Solanaceae
Description: long non-coding RNA (STUB_LNC002435)
Source: RNAcentral